GGGUCAGUAGGUUGGUCGUGCCACCGGUACGUACUGGUCUUACUGAUUCCUCCUUCCUGAAGAACCGUAAUGCCAUUAAUUUGGUGUUGCGGGGAAACAGGACUGUUACUUUGAAAAAAUUAGAGUGUUUAAAGCAAGCUAACGCUUGAAUAUAUUAGCAUGGAAUAAUGAAAUAGGACGAUCGAUCCUAUUUUGUUGGUUUCUAGGAUUGACGUA
Molecule: ribosomal RNA, 216 nt
Filed under: Glomeromycotina sp.
Lineage: Eukaryota; Fungi; Glomeromycota
Description: partial small subunit ribosomal RNA
Rfam family: Eukaryotic small subunit ribosomal RNA (bases 40-216)
Source: RNAcentral